This 388-nucleotide ribosomal RNA is filed under the name uncultured bacterium. RNAcentral's name for it is "bacterial SSU rRNA". It matches the Rfam family "Bacterial small subunit ribosomal RNA", at positions 29 to 416 of the family's 1533-position model. The record is from RNAcentral.
GUAAACGCUGGCGGCGUGCCUAAAACAUGCAAGUCGAACGGGCAGGCUCCUUCGGGAGGUUGUCAGUGGCGAACGGCUGAGUAACACGUGGGUGACCUACCCGGAAGUGGGGAACAACUGCCCGAAAGGGCGGCUAAUACCGCAUAGGUCCUGUUCUUCGGUGGGCAGGGCAAAGCUCCCCUGGGAGCGCUUCCAGAUGGGCCCGCGCCCGAUUAGCUAGCUGGUGAGGUAAUGGCUUACCAGGGCGACGAUCGGUAGCUGGUCUCAGAGGAUGAUCAGCCAGACUGGGACUGAGACACGGCCCAGACUCCUACGGGAGGCAGCAGUUAGGAAUUUUGGGCAAUGGGCGCAAGCCUGACCCAGCAACGCCGCGUGCGGGAAGAAGGCC